UGUCUAGUCCAGCAUUUUCCAAACACUUCCUUGAAUGAGACACUCAUACGUGGUCAGAUAAGAUAGGGCUGCCUCUUAGAGAUUCAUAAACUACAUUAGUGACUUAAAGGCUCUGAUAAGUCCUGCAGUGAGAAGACCUGUUUAUAAUUUUGUUUUUACUGGCACCAUACAAGACCUUGAACUCUCCUGCUCCUGUUUCUAGAUGCCUAGUAACAGCUUGAAGUACAUUGGUAAAUUCUGAUCUUGUCUACCUCUUCAUAAGACCAACAGUAAAACUGAGGCUCCAGAGGCUGUGGGAUUUGCUCAGGGCCACACCGCCAGAAGUAGAUCCAGCCAUCCUGACUCAGAACCAGCCAGAGAGGCCUGACAUUGAAUGUCAGACACUGCCAGGGAGAAGUGGGUAAUCUCAGCUCCCAAUGACCCCAUUUUACAGACGUGGAAAUUGAGACUGCAUGACUCACCCAAAGCCUCUGGAUUAGUAAGAUACUUAGCUGAGAUCUCAACAUGGAGCUGCCAGACCCCACCUGUUAUGAAGCACCUACAAAAGAGGAUGGUGAAAAACCCUCCAGGCUGGACAGAGGGUCUCCUAGAGGGACCACAGGGUGGAGUCGACCCUUGGACUUGGGCUAGAAGCAUCUAAGACCCUAAUUAAAACAAGGACAGAAGGAAUGGUGAUAAUCGGUCUGUUUACAGAGUGCCAGGCAAGCACUAUUAUUAGCUCCAUUUUAUAGACACUCCGCAUAUAUUAUCAUAGAUAGUCUGCAUAUGUUUAAUCUUUCCUACACCCUUACAGGACAGAUAUUAUUAUGGUCUCCAUUCUGCAAAUAGGAGAAAUGAGGCUCAGAGGGAUGAAGACUUUCUCGUCCACAUCCGCCAUGCUAGUGAACAGCAGUGCUGGGAUCUGAACCCAGGUUUCAAAGAGCAUCUAUUAUUCAUUAUUUAUUGGGGCCUUCCUGGAUGCCUGACACUAUAACAAUAACGACGACAAUAAUAAUACUAAUUCCUUGUGUUCCAGGUCAUAGAAUGUGAAAGGAAAAUAAAUCUUGGGGCCCCCAAAUCACUAAGCUAAAGGGAAAAGUCAAGCUGGGAACUGUUUAGGGCCAACCUACCCCCCAUUCUAUUCAAAGGCAGCCCUCUGCUCACUGACAUAGAUGCAUUAUCUGUUUGUCUCCUUUGGAAAGGCUAAUCAGAAACUCAAAAGAAUGCGACCAUUUGUCUCUCACCUACCUGUGACCUGGAAAACCCCUCCCUGCUUCAAGUUGUCCUGCAUUUCUAGAUCGAACCAAUGUACUUCUUACAUAUAUUGAUUGAUGUCUCAUGUCUCUCUAAAAUGUAUAAAAUUAAGCUGUGCCCAGACCACCUUGGGCAUGUGACAGGAGGACUUCCUGAGGCUGUGUCAUGGGAGUGUCCUCAACCUCGGCAAAAUAAACUUCCUAAAUGAACUGA
Homo sapiens (human) is the source of this 1446-nucleotide long non-coding RNA. RefSeq annotates it as HSPB8 antisense RNA 1. NCBI's taxonomy places the organism in Eukaryota, Metazoa, Chordata, Mammalia, Primates, Hominidae. The transcript has 2 exons. The record is from RefSeq and is a predicted model, not a curated record.